UAAUUGAAGAGUUUGAUCAUGGCUCAGAUUGAACGCUGGCGGCAGGCCUAACACAUGCAAGUCGAGCGGUAACAGGAGAAAGCUUGCUUUCUUGCUGACGAGCGGCGGACGGGUGAGUAAUGUAUGGGGAUCUGCCCGAUAGAGGGGGAUAACUACUGGAAAUGGUGGCUAAUACCGCAUAAUGUCUACGGACCAAAGCAGGGGCUCUUCGGACCUUGCACUAUCGGAUGAACCCAUAUGGGAUUAGCUAGUAGGUGGGGUAAAGGCUCACCUAGGCGACGAUCUCUAGCUGGUCUGAGAGGAUGAUCAGCCACACUGGGACUGAGACACGG
This 332-nucleotide ribosomal RNA is filed under the name Proteus mirabilis. Its description in RNAcentral is "bacterial SSU rRNA". It matches the Rfam family "Bacterial small subunit ribosomal RNA", at positions 1 to 329 of the family's 1533-position model. Lineage: Bacteria; Pseudomonadati; Pseudomonadota; Gammaproteobacteria; Enterobacterales; Morganellaceae. The record is from RNAcentral.